Molecule: non-coding RNA, 125 nt
Organism: Triticum aestivum (bread wheat)
Lineage: Eukaryota; Viridiplantae; Streptophyta; Magnoliopsida; Poales; Poaceae
Source: Rfam
CUAAUACUCCCUCCAUGCGAAAAUACUUGUCGCAGACAUGGAUGUAUCUAGACGUAUUUAAGUUCUAGAUACUUCUAUUUUUAUAUAUUUCUCUAACAAGUAUUUCCAGACAGAGGGAGUAUAAU